RNAcentral lists this ribosomal RNA (514 nucleotides) under Lumbricus terrestris (common earthworm). Its description in RNAcentral is "partial large subunit ribosomal RNA". The stretch from base 50 to 389 matches the Rfam family "Bacterial large subunit ribosomal RNA", at positions 2072 to 2648 of the family's 2925-position model. Lineage: Eukaryota; Metazoa; Annelida; Clitellata; Crassiclitellata; Lumbricidae. The record is from RNAcentral.
UCUAUAAGCCGCUUAAAAAUUACCCUCUAACCGAAGAGUGUUAGAUAGCGUCGAAGGACAAGAAGACCCUAUAGAGCUUAAUUUAAAUAAAUAUAAAAAAUUUACUAAAAUUCGGUUGGGGCGACCAGGGAAUUACCCAUCAUCCCUAAGCAAAAGAUAAAUAUAUCAAAAUACUGACCCUUCUACAAGAUCAUUAAAACAAGCUACCUUAGGGAUAACAGGCUAAUCUCACUAGAGAGUCCUUAUCAAUAGUGGGGAUUGGCACCUCGAUGUUGGCUUAGGGAAUCUCUAUAACGCAAAAGUUAUAUAAAGAUGGUUUGUUCAACCAAUAACACCCUACAUGAGCUGAGUUCAGACCGGCGUAAGCCAGGUUAGUUUCUAUCCUCGAUCACUCUAUCUAUUUAUAGUACGAAAGGACCUAAUUAGAGUAAUAUUUACAUACAGGGAAUAAAUAUAAACCAUUCUAAAUAAAAUAAAUCAUAAUCUAUGAGUAAGUUGGCAGAACAGUGCCACC